AUUGAACGCUGGCGGCAUGCCUUACACAUGCAAGUCGAACGGCAGCGCGGGAGCAAUCCUGGCGGCGAGUGGCGAACGGGUGAGUAAUAUAUCGGAACGUGCCCAGUAGUGGGGGAUAGCCCGGCGAAAGCCGGAUUAAUACCGCAUGAGACCUGAGGGUGAAAGCGGGGGAUCGCAAGACCUCGCGCUACUGGAGCGGCCGAUAUCAGAUUAGCUAGUUGGUGGGGUAAAGGCCUACCAAGGCAACGAUCUGUAGUUGGUCUGAGAGGACGACCAGCCACACUGGGACUGAGACACGGCCCAGACUCCUACGGGAGGCAGCAGUGGGGAAUUUUGGACAAUGGGCGCAAGCCUGAUCCAGCAAUGCCGCGUGCAGGAAGAAGGCCUUCGGGUUGU
This 396-nucleotide ribosomal RNA is filed under the name uncultured bacterium. RNAcentral's name for it is "bacterial SSU rRNA". It matches the Rfam family "Bacterial small subunit ribosomal RNA", at positions 29 to 426 of the family's 1533-position model. The record is from RNAcentral.